UCGUAAGAUGUGAGGAAGGUGGGGAUGACGUCAAAUCAGCACGGCCCUUACGUCCGGGGCUACACACGUGUUACAAUGGGGGGUACAGAAGGCAGCUACACGGCGACGUGAUGCUAAUCCCUAAAGCCUCUCUCAGUUCGGAUUGGAGUCUGCAACCCGACUCCAUGAAGCUGGAUUCGCUAGUAAUCGCGCAUCAGCCACGGCGCGGUGAAUACGUUCCCGGGCCUUGUACACACCGCCCGUCAAGCCAUGAAAGCCGGGGGUACCUGAAGUGCGUAACCGCAAGGAGCGCCCUAGGGUAAAACUGGUGAUUGGGGCUAAGUCGUAACAAGGUAGCCGUACCGGAAGGUGCGGCUGGAACACCUCCUUU
This 370-nucleotide ribosomal RNA is filed under the name Escherichia coli. RNAcentral's name for it is "bacterial SSU rRNA". It matches the Rfam family "Bacterial small subunit ribosomal RNA", at positions 1155 to 1533 of the family's 1533-position model. Lineage: Bacteria; Pseudomonadati; Pseudomonadota; Gammaproteobacteria; Enterobacterales; Enterobacteriaceae. The record is from RNAcentral.